CUUAUUGUGUGACGAUAAAUUGAACAUCCCCUUUGAAAACCUGGCACCGUCUUAAGUGACGGGUUAGGGUUUCUUGGAAUUUACUUUGAAAAAAUUAGAGUGUUUCAAGCAUGCGAUUCGCUGGAAUACAUUAGCAUGGAAUAAUAGAAGAUGACCUCUGAGAUCAUUUUGUUGGUACAUUGGCGGGAGGCAAUGAUUAACAGGGACAGUUGGGGGCAUUAGUAUUUAAUUGUCAGAGGUGAAAUUCAUUGAUUAAUUAAAGACUAACUUAUGCGAAAGCAUNUGCCAAGGAUGUUUUCAUUAAUCAAGAACGAAAGUUAGGGGAUCAAAGACGAUCAGAUACCGUCCUAGUCUUAACCAUAAACUAUACCGACUAGGGAUUGGCGAGGACCUUUAAUGCCUCGUUCAGCACCUUAUGAGAAAUCAAAGUCUUUGGGUUUCUGGGGGGAGUAUGGUCGCAAGGCUGAAACUUAAAGGAAUUGACGGAAGGGCACCACAAGGAGUGGAGCCCUGCGGCUCAAUUUGAUUCAACAC
RNAcentral lists this ribosomal RNA (534 nucleotides) under uncultured eukaryote. Its description in RNAcentral is "bacterial SSU rRNA". It matches the Rfam family "Eukaryotic small subunit ribosomal RNA", at positions 672 to 1206 of the family's 1831-position model. The record is from RNAcentral.